AGUAAAGCUAAAAUGCAACACAAUUCCCUCCUUCAAAAACCCAUUAUUAACCCCUCCAAUUCUAAAUUUCACCUUUAUCUUUUUGACUGCAAUUCCCAGCUUCUUUCUCCUCCUUCCCCACCUCCCUUCUCUCUCUCUUCUCUCCAUCUUCAGGACAAACCUCAACUUUCGUAACCCUUUUAUCCCCUAUCUCUUUUUCUUCCUCCAUCAUUACAAUGUCUUGGAAUUCUACCACCUUUAGAGGUACCCAAAAGCUCAAAAUUGACUCUGCUCCACCCACACCACCCACCACACCACCCCCCCCCCCCCCCCUCUCUUCCACUUGUCAUUGUUGUCCCAAUCAAACCUCUCACCGAUCUCCAACAACUCAGCAACUGCAGUCAAGUUUCCUGAGAAUGGCAAAGGAAGCAGGAGGGAUCACCGAAUCCAAGUGGGUUAGUUGUGGGUAAAGGGAAGGAGUCUGAGUCUGCCAUUAAUGAAGUAGGGAGCUUGGAGUAUUGAACCCAGCAACCCAUUGCCAUUCUGUUAUUUCGACUUGAGGAAUCUCUUGGCUUUUUCGUCUAACAAUGUCAAAAAGUUUGAAGAAUUAUCAAGCAGGAAAUUGAUGGUGACAUCUGCACUGAACUCAGAAUAUCUCCUUACCGUGCCUAUAUAUGUUGAUUGGAAGAGAAAUGCAAUAAUACUCAGCUUUUGACUUAGAUUGCAAAGCAUGAGUUGCAGUCUCAUCUAAGAGAUCAUCUGCAUGCUGGGCAGCAUCUUCAAGCUCAUCCAGCCACUGCUUGACAUUUGGGUAGUCCAUCACAUCACAAGAAGCCAGCCUAUCAAACACCACCUGAAGGGUAGUGGAGAGGAAAGCUCCACCCACCAAUGAAGCAGCCAUCUUCUCUUCGGAAUGAAUUUGCACAGCAGAGACAGACUGAAAACAGAAGUCUAAUGGCAAAGGAGAGAACCAGAACUCCACUUGAUUAGUUUUGUCACAGCAUGUCAGCGAAUUAAGUCUUCUUUUCUUAGUUUGUCACAUAGUUCAUGUGCUACUAAUGGUAGGUGCACUUUGGAUUUCAUUGAUUGGUUGGUCAUUGUAGUGGACCAAUAGAUUUGAUAAAAUAUAAAGAAACACAAUUAUUUAUUGGAAACAAACUUCCAACUUGUAUUAAUUUAUGGAUGCACAAAGUUUUUAACUUAGGUUUUCUUCCUUAGUUUCUCUGUUUCAUAUAACAUCUUCGAAGAAAAUGAUAUAUGAUUAUGACCAU
Ziziphus jujuba (common jujube) is the source of this 1250-nucleotide long non-coding RNA. RefSeq lists it as uncharacterized. The transcript is spliced from 4 exons. The record is from RefSeq and is a predicted model, not a curated record. Lineage: Eukaryota; Viridiplantae; Streptophyta; Magnoliopsida; Rosales; Rhamnaceae.